RNAcentral lists this ribosomal RNA (366 nucleotides) under uncultured soil bacterium. Its description in RNAcentral is "bacterial SSU rRNA". It matches the Rfam family "Bacterial small subunit ribosomal RNA", at positions 26 to 396 of the family's 1533-position model. The record is from RNAcentral.
AGAUUGAACGCUGGCGGCAUGCUUUACACAUGCAAGUCGAACGGUAACGCGGGGGCAACCCUGGCGACGAGUGGCGAACGGGUGAGUAAUACAUCGGAACGUGCCCAGUAGUGGGGGAUAGCUCGGCGAAAGCCGGAUUAAUACCGCAUACGACCUACGGGUGAAAGCGGGGGAUCGCAAGACCUCGCGCUAUUGGAGCGGCCGAUGGCAGAUUAGCUUGUUGGUGAGGUAAAAGCUCACCAAGGCGACGAUCUGUAGCUGGUCUGAGAGGACGACCAGCCACACUGGGACUGAGACACGGCCCAGACUCCUACGGGAGCAGCAGUGGGAAUUUGGACAAGUGGGCGCAAGCCUGAUCCAGCAAUG